RNAcentral lists this ribosomal RNA (459 nucleotides) under uncultured bacterium. RNAcentral describes it as "partial 16S ribosomal RNA". It matches the Rfam family "Bacterial small subunit ribosomal RNA", at positions 338 to 795 of the family's 1533-position model. The record is from RNAcentral.
CCUACGGGUGGCAGCAGUGAGGAAUAUUGGUCAAUGGCCGGAAGGCUGAACCAGCCAUGCCGCGUGAAGGGCAGCGCCCUAGGGGCGUUAAACUUCUUUUGUGCGGGAGCAACAAUGGUCACGUGUGGCCAGACGAGAGUACCGUUCGAAUAAGCACCGGCUAACCCCGGGCCAGCAGCCGCGGUAAUACGGGGGAUGCAAGCGUUUGCCGGAUUUAGUGGGUUUAAAGGGUGCGUAGGCUGUGAGGUAAGUCAGCGGUGAAAUGCCCCGCUCAACGGGGUGAAGUGCCAUUGAUACUGCCGUGCUGGAGUGCGGAUGCCGUGGGAGGAAUGUGUGGUGUAGCGGUGAAAUGCAUAGAUAUCACACAGAACACCGAUUGCGAAGGCAUCUCACGAAUCCGCGAUUGACGCUGAUGCACGAAAGCGUGGGUAUCAAACAGGAUUAGAUACCCCAGUAGUC